Molecule: long non-coding RNA, 335 nt
Organism: Triticum dicoccoides
Lineage: Eukaryota; Viridiplantae; Streptophyta; Magnoliopsida; Poales; Poaceae
Exons: 3
Source: RefSeq, a predicted model, not a curated record
CGGCGGAGCCCUCGUUCUCAACGGCGGCGGAGCCUUCGUCCUCAAAAAAUGGUUGUGAGGGGAGCCCGUGGGCAUACUGAGAUGGAGCCCCCAGAUUCAACUUCGAAUAGAGGGGAUGCUGCCGCUCGGACCUUCGAAUUGACGGUCAAUUUCUUUCCAUCAAAGGCAAAAUUAGUUGAUGGUAGCAUUCAGAACAUUGAGAGAGACACAAUUGUUAAAUGGGAGGUUGAGUUUACAGAGAUUGAUCCACAAGUUCUACAGAACAUGGGAGAGAAGGCAGUGAAGAAAUGGGUGGAAAAAAUUGGGGAGAAUGUUGUUUGGGGUCCAGAGCAAGA